This 3366-nucleotide long non-coding RNA is filed under the name Chinchilla lanigera (long-tailed chinchilla). RNAcentral's name for it is "lncRNA (ENSCLAG00000027184.1)". Lineage: Eukaryota; Metazoa; Chordata; Mammalia; Rodentia; Chinchillidae. The record is from RNAcentral.
AUGACCCCAAAUUCCCAGGCAGUGUGGAUUCCCGCCGGGUGCGCUCCUCUCUUUACCCUUCGGAGCCAGGCUAGGACGCGCUCGGGUCCGGACCGGGCUCGAGCACAUCUCCUUCCGCGGGGCCGGAUCCGGGCAUCCCGCCCUGGGGUUGAGGUCCCGGUAACCGCUAAUCUCCCCCAGCGGCGGGGGACGUCGCGCAACCGCGGAGCCCUGUCCGGGGAGACUAAACAAGGAGAGGAACAGGCUGUAAACACAUCUCCUGACACGCAGGGAUGUUGCUCUUGGAGAAUGUGAAGACAGUUUGCUUCUUGACAAGCGAGCGAGCGGGCGCCCAGAUUUCUGCAGCCUUCCCGAGUCUCCCCCGAGGGAAAGGCGGGCAGAGAAAACGCCGGAUUUGGGAGCCAUCAGGGAAGGGUUCUGCUCCGGGGAGCCGCCCUCCUUGGCCCCAGUCUCCUGCCUGGGGCCCCCCUUCGGGUACUGCCGGUGGCUGACCACAGACUCUAAGGGUGGUACUGGGAUAUGGGGUGGGGAAAACCUCUUGAAUAAUAACUGUAGAGAAGAAAGAGGCAAAAUCAGCGUCUCUCCUCUGCCUUGGAGUAGAGAGGACUGUUCCUAAAGCUUCUGUCUGCAGCCACAAGGCCAGUUGCCUGCCUCUGUUCCUUGAGUAGAGUAUAACGUCUCCUCUGCUUGAAGCGCGCUUGCAUCAUUCAGCAAAUUACACUCCUUGCUUGCCAAAGUGUGUCUUGCUCAGGGAAAUUGUGUGUGUGUGUGUGUGUGUGUGUGUGUGUGUGUGUGUGUCUGCGCGUAUGUAUGCACCAGCUUCCCCCUCCGGACUAAGGCUGCUGUUAGGGGUACUGGUUAUUCAUUCCGGAAUCCUAGAGACUUAAAUUUGAAAAAGAGAUAGUGGCACACCUGGUCUAUUUUGACCCUAAUUCUCCCUAGAGAACAGCAAUGACUGAACAAAGCCACCAAUAUUUCAAAGUCCGUUUCCAGGGUACAGCGUGUGCCCUCAGGAGGCCCCCAAUGGGCUAUGCUUCCUGUACUUGCCCCUUCUCUCUAACCUCUGUGUCCAGUUUAUAUAGCAGAGGAAUGGUGAUUCUUUGUCCCUGUAUAGGAAUGUGGGGUUGUGCGCACCUCCAAGAAAAGGUGGGGGGGUGACAGCAAGUUACAGUGACUGCAGAAAAAUUCCCGUAUCUUCAGCACGGACCCCCUUUUUGCCAUGCUUCUGGCCCAUGUUCAGCAAAAGGGACUGUUUUAUAUUGAUGCAAGAGACAGUCAGCAGCAUAUCUACCCAGCCAUGGCUAUCUUUCUUUAUGAAAUCAGUUCACUGCCUUGGUCACACCAUACAGAAAAUCUGCUGAUCACCUCUAUGGACAGUAAAAACCACUGGGGCCUUAGUUAUUUCCAAGAGGAGCCCCUUUUGUGUGAACCUAGAAUAGAGACGUGGCUUGGCCCAUUGCAGGCAGAGAGGAGCCCAAUUCCUCCUCCUCUUCUCCCUGCAGCGAUCUGAACAAUUCUGAAACCGCCUCCCUGGGCGUCAGCUAGCAGGUUGGGGAACUAACCAGGGCUCUCUCUCUAGGGCCCUGUUAAAUGCACUGAACUUAAAAUGAAACACGAAGUGUGAAUUUCAGGUUUGAACAUGAUGCAUCAGGAAACGCAGAGGUUGGCAGCCCUUUUCCUCCCUCCUGCCUUUCGGUAGCAGGUAUUAAUAUUGUAUUAAAUGUUAUGAGGCAGUAAGGGCUGCGGAGAGAAUGUGCUCAGAUGCAAUUUUGUCAAGGUUUUUAUCUGUGAUUAUGAUUCCAGAUGUAGAAGCUCCCGGAGGAGGGAAACGAGGGGCUGCUGGCAUGUGACAUGUGUUUUAAGGUGUUUGGCAGUGUUUCUCAAAGUGGUGACAAAAUGUUCAAUUUUAUUACAGGGAAUUGGUAAGAGAAACGUGAAUACUAGGUCAGAGAUUAUUCAUCUCAGCAAAAGGGUUUACCAUUAUUGAUUAGAGUGUGGAAAGUUUGUAUCUGGGCCCUACUCAAAUCACACUGUCAACAAUAUAAAUCUGUCAGAACAGAUUAUUCUUAAAGAACACUUGUAACAAAAUAUGCAAUAGCUAAUUGCAUCCCCUCCACAGCUAACUUCCACAAAAAGAUAUAUAUUGUCCUGAAAGCGGGAAAAAAAAAGUAGUGUAAGUAUUGCAAGAGGUGAUCUUUUCCCACCUGAUGUAACUAUAGUUAUACUUUCUACCUUGAAGAUUUUUAAAAAAUCUAGCAGACAGUUAUAGUCCUGGAAAAGCCAUUUUGGUAGCCCCUGCUCUGCAAGCCUUUCUGGUUGAAGCGCGCGCGCGUGCGCGCGCGCGCACACACACACACACACACACACACACACACACACACCACCCAGCAAUAAAUUUUCUCACACAGGGAACCACAUUUGCUUAAAAGAGAAUCAGGAAGAUUUUGUAGAAAAAAGUAGGGAUGAGGAGAAAGCAGAUGAACCCUGAGUAGCUAACAAUUCUUAUACUUCCAUGCAUUUGAUACUGGAAAUUUUUGGUACCCCAAUUUCUCUUCAUUCAAAGGCAUCUCUACCAUCUCACUCUGACUGCAGGACACCCCUAAACUCCAUUUUGAAGCACAAGUUUCCUCAUAAACCUUUUAUGAGUGUCACGGUCACUAGCACUAGUGGGCUCUGGUGUGCAGCCCAUGCUCACUACACUGAGGUGUGUCUGGUAAGCAUUUCCAUGGAACAAGAGCGGGUUUUGCCUAAAGAUUAAGGCCUUGGUUCCUCCCUGAGUCUCUGAACCAAGGACAAGAGUCUGUACCCACUUGCUGGAGUCACUGAACAUAGAGAUCAUCCUAAAUCCAGCACACCCAUUCCCUUCCCUUAAUCCAAGCUACAGGAUGCUGGUUUUAACUUUCCAGCUACUGACACUAUUUUACUAUCAUGAAGCAUAGUAGACUUCUAGAACUAAUUGUACCUUCUCCUUGCAAGUAAGAAGGUUCCUGUCCCUGGUUCUUCUCCCUGCAUUUUCACCCAGACCCCCCCAAUCCUAGCCCAACUUUCCACUGGUCCUAUUGGCAAAUCUCUACUGUUGUUUGGGAAGUUGGCAUUGUCUCUUUAGGUGAGGAAGGAAUCAGUUCUUACAUGUGCUUCAGCUGAAGCCCAGCCCCUUGGCACCCUCCUCCCCCAACAUUUUUAUUCUCCCAUUAAUUAAAACAACUAAUGUCCCAUCGAUUACCUUUGCAUGAAUGAAAAUCAUUAUGAGCCCUUGCAGGUAUAUGGGAAAUUGUUUGCUUAAGUAUUCGCACUUUGAUUUCCUAUAGACUCAUUUUCUCAAGCAUAUAGAAAUUCAAACACAAACAAAAGCAAAAUCUCCUGACA